Long non-coding RNA from Haemorhous mexicanus (house finch), 4687 nucleotides. RefSeq lists it as uncharacterized. The transcript has 3 exons. The record is from RefSeq and is a predicted model, not a curated record. NCBI's taxonomy places the organism in Eukaryota, Metazoa, Chordata, Aves, Passeriformes, Fringillidae.
UUUGCUCGCGGCGGGGGCUACCGGGUGGCGGGCGGCCCUCAAGGGGAUGGGGACCCUCCCGGUUUGAGCGAGAUCGCUGGGAGAGAGGUUUCGCCCCGUUUGAGAGUGACCCCCAAUCGCUGGGGCGUGGUGUCAGCUCUGGGAGGGGUGGAGAACCGGCUCGGCCCGGGGGUCAGCGCAGCAGCGGAGCCGGGGAACACGGCGGGGGAGGCCUUCAGCAGCGCCCCAGGACGCGCGGCUGCCGCCCAGAGUCCCCGCCCGAGCUCCCUUCCUUCCCCUUCGGGCUGCUCCGUGCCCCGCUCAGUGCUCCCGCUGAAAGGCUGUUCUGGCAAAUACAUGCCCUCACGGGGACACAAUUGCUCAAGGAAAACAUUUCCCCUUCUUUUUCCUGGCACGGCUCUAGGCAGUUUCCCGAGCUGAGUAGUGACGAAAGCCAGAGGCUGUGGCCACUCGGGCAGUGACGGCGGGACGCCCUUUGCCUCGGCUUUGCGGGCUCCAAGUGGGCCAUUCUUCACCUUCCCGAAGGCAGAGUUGCAGCAGCUCAUCCUGGGAACGCUGUCCAGGCUGCAGGACCAGCCUCACGGAGCCACUCGGGAGCCGAAGGGUGUCCUGCUGCCCUGGUGCCCCCUCCUCGUGACCCCAUACAACCUAUGCACACUUGUGUCCCAUCACUGGACUGACACCUUGGUUGUUGUUGGACAAACCCUGGCAGGGCUGCCCUACUUCCCUGGAGGAGUGUUUAUCCAGCUAAAGGAUUUGUGCGUCUGCAGUAUCACAGAGGGGCAGCAGCAACUGAGACAAUGUGCCUCAGGAUCUUAAAAGACCACCUCAUGUACAGCCAUGGAGUCCCGUGCACUGGGGAACAUCUCAUAGAUCUGACAUGACUUCAGGCUGCAUCUGCAAAUCCAGGCUGCUGCUCCUUGUGUGCAAGACCCCCUCCCAACUCUUCAGCAGCCAGGGCGAGGGGGGCCUCUGCUCUGUUUGAAAAGGUUCCAUGCAAAGUGGCAGACAGCAAAGCUUGUUAUGAGGACAGAUGCUUGGGCCAAGACCUGAAUCAUGAACCCUCCCUCAGCUUCAGCUUCCCUCUUGGUUCCCUGCACAGUUCUUCCCAAAGAAGCAGCUGUCCCAGGGAAGUAGGGGACAAGACCAGCUCAGCAGCAAAGGGGUCUAGUGCCACAGGGUCUGGGUCCCACUGGACCACCACCAGACAGUGGAGGGCUGAAAGGGAAGUGCACAUACUGGGAUAGAAGACCUCAGACUGACCUGAGAGGUGUUUGGCACAGUUUGUGUCAGCUUUAAGGUCAUGGUCACGAUCCCGAGUGGAGAAGGGCAGCUGCCUGAAUUCCCCAAUGGCAUUUUCCAGCUCUCCAGACAGAGGCCCCAGCAGGUUGAGUGUGUAGGCUGUGCUCUCACCACCAAGACUGAAGACAAACUGAACCACCUGGGAAUUCCCCUCCCAGUCUUCCAGCUCAAUCAGGAGAUUGUACUUUCCCUCUUGGACAAGGUGAUGUAUCUUCUCCAGGCCCAGCCAGAAGUCACCUGAAAUAAGAUUCAUGACUUUGGCUGCAGGGACACAAACAUGCCAUGAAAAGCAGAGAUGCAAGCAAGCUCCAGAGACAAACAGGGACAAUCUAGGAUGCUGCAGCGUUUGAAUCACUGUCUGGCACCUGCAGGACACACCAGGAAGAUCAAGGACCCUUGCUCUGCAAGCACUGUCCCACCCGCCCCUUCAGCCCACAUCUGUGCUGUAGCACAGAGAGCUCCAGAGGCCAGCAAGGGGAAGAUCUUUUGGUAAGCUUCCCUUAUCCCACAGUGAGAACAUAGACACCAUCAUCCACCUACCACGAAGGUCUCCAAAGCCAUUCUUGUAGGCAUCCCACAGCUGGUCAAAGUCCACAGAGCCAUCCAUGCGCCUCUGGAUCACUGUCCAACCACCCUCUGUGGGAAGGGAAAACACGGUCACUUGGGGUUACCAUUGACCAGCCCACCCUGCCAAGUGCUCAGGACGGUGCACGGCUUUACCUGUGGUCAUGUCACAGUAGACUUUGAAGGGCUGAGAUCCUGUGGGCUGUACCUGGAAAAUGCCACUGCUCUGCUGCCCAGCCAGGAAAAGCUGGUGGCAACCCUCUGGGAGCUCUGCAGGGGAAGGAAACAGCAGCUGAGGAGAUGGCCACAAGCCCCACUUCCUCAGCAGGUUGCUCCUACCACAGCCCCAGCACUUGCAGCCCUGGCCACGAGCCCAGCCAGCCACGCACAGCAGCAGCUGCAGCUCUGGACACGUGCUGGGGACAACAGCCCCUGACUUCAGCAUCUUUAAACACUGUGACCCCACACUUUUCCUUUUAUUUAAACAGAGCUCCUUGGGCUUUCAUCCAAGGCAGAAGCCAGGCUUUGGGCCAGGUUGGAGUGACCUCAGCUGGAGAGAAGGGCUCCCCAUCGAGGAGGGACAGAGCAGUUCCCAGGUCCCUCUACACCCACAGACAGGAGUGGCCCAUUUGGGGUGGGGCAAUGCCCCAGUCAAGUAUCCCCAUCCCACACGAGGCUGAAGCAGAGUCAAGGGGCCUCAGAGGCAGAGAGAAAGACAAAGUCCUGACAUCAGGAAGGUGGCUGAGCAUCCAGCACACGACCUCUUUCUCCCAGCAACUGUGGUGGCCCCAGACAGACAUCCUGCUGGGCAACCUGCCACCAGCAGGCACAGUGCCAGGCUGGGGUGACCCUUUUUCCAAGAUACACUGACUGAGGCAAGGGGGGGGGGGGGGUGGACUCUGGGAGCCCCAGCUCAUUGCAGGAGUGGAUUGCCCCAGGUGAAGCUACACCCUGCUUCAUCCCCCUCAUCCCCAGGGGCUCCCACUGCUCCUUCUGCCUCGCAGGGACUUUGCCCAGAGCUGCCAGCAAAGCACCAUUUCAACAGCUGUGAUAAAAGUCCAACCAAGAACCACCACCCCCAGCACUUGGGAGAGAUGAGGCAGAGGGAACCUGUUACAACAUCCGAGUCAAAAGGCCACAGGAAGAUGUGUAGAGACUUCAGCCCCAGGCUGCUGCACAGUCAAGGGGCUCUUUGUCAGCAGGGACAGGUGCCCCAGUCACCCCCAGACAAAGGGGCCCUGUUCUCCCCAGGCCAGGGUGGAUGGAUUGUAGCUUUGACUACCCUGGCUCACAGCUGCUGCCAGCAUGACCCUGAGACAGACAAGAAACCUCAAGACAAGCCCUGGGCUGUGCUGGGGUGCUGGCCGUGGGGUCCCUCGCAGUAGCUGCCCCAGGGUCAGGGCUGACACCAUGAUCCAGAGCAGCAGCAAGAAGGGCUUCCUCCAACAGCCAGGGGCUCCCUGGGGGCAGAUGGAGGGGGGGAAAAAAGGGCCUUUGAGCUGCCAGGACUAAAAGCAGCCCUUGCAGAGCAUCAUCCCAUCCUCACUGGGUGCUGGGGAGUCUUGAUGCUGCCCUGGGGUGAAGAGUAAAGCCCCAACUGCAGGAAAGGUCGGGGGGACCCAGGGGACAGAAAUAUGACACCUGCCAUCACCUUUCACCCAUUUACAACAUAUUCCUCUCUUUGCCUUCCUCUCCCCCCACAAAAUUUCCCCUCCUUGGCAGGGGUAGCCCCUCUCGCACAGCCAGCACAGCUGGUGGUCACAUCCCUAACACCCCCAGGGCAAUGCCAGGGCAGGACUGGUGCCACCAUCAAUGCACCACAGGACAAGCUGUGCCCCAGCCCUACCCUGAACCCAUGACACAGGGAAUGAGGGCAUUGUGCAUCAAGGAUCAAAACCACGCAGAGCCCCCCAGCAAUGCAGGGGCUGAGUGCAUCCUGAAUAUCCCCACCUUCUGGGCAGGGAAGGGCAAGGGCAGGGAAGCAAACCAGGCUCAUAGGAAGGAACACCACAGCCAGAGGCCCCUGCUUACAUUGCCACAUCAAGGAGGUGCUGGGCUUGCCAAGCUCCUCACCUCCUCUCCCUCAUUUCCUCACUGCAUCUCCCAGCAUCAGUGGGAUGGUGCCAGGCAGAUGUUUAGUGGUCCCAGCAUGCACAAGUCAACUCCAUCCCUGCCUGUUUCUCAUUUCUGGGCUCUGGCUGCACUCAAUCCCUGUUCCCCUGGUGCCACAGGGACUCUUCAGCAGCUGAACGAGAUGUAGCUGCUUGAACAGCCUCUGCUCUAGGUUUUUGUUUGAGGGACAUGCUCGUUAGUUCCAGUUCACGCUGCACAUCCAAACGGCACCAGCAGAACAAGCCCUCCUGACUGCUCCCGUGUUUCCUUCUCCCUCCCUCUUUACUUAGCCAAGCAACACAACAAGGCUGGAUCUGCCUUAGGCUCUGUGUUCACCCAACAGGAUUUCCAGCCACAACACAGGGGAGGUCACUAACCUGGUAUAAACACCCAUCCUCAGGGAUAGCAGGGCAUGCCUAGAGCUGCCUGCAUUGCCUCCCCCUCUCCCACUCCAACCCAGCCCCAUUAUUUUGGAGUCUCAGCGCCACAGGGAGAGCGAGCGUGAGCAGGGCUCUACCUUUCCCCUACUCGGCUGGCUGCCAGCAAGCACAGGCUCUGCCCAAAGACGUGAUCCUCUUUCUGCAAGCUAUUAAACCUCUCACUCUCCAGGCAGCUUUGAGCCUUCAACUUUCACAUGCUUGGCCCCACGCCAGUUCUGCCCUGAAAAAACUUGUGUUCACUGGAUGCAAAUAAAAGGGUCUUUCUGCAA